GGGGUCUUGAGGAGGCACUGAUGAAUUCUUCCAGGAGUCAGGAAGGCUUCACUUGAAAAUGUAGAAGCUUGGCCUCCUAGGUGAAGAGAACAGAUGGAGUCCGCCUGCGUGACCAUCCAUGAGGCUCUGAAAACGGUGAUUGACUCCCAGACGCAUUACCGACUGCGGGAGGCCCAGGACCGGGCCCGAGCGGAAGACCUUAAUAGCCGAGUCUCUUACUGGUCUAUCGGCGAGACGAUUGCCCUGUUCGUGGUCAGCUUCAGUCAGGUGCUACUGUUGAAAAGCUUCUUCACAGAAAAACGACCCAUCAGCAGGGCAGUCCACUCCUAGCCCUGGUAUCCUGCUCUAGGGCCCCUCAUGCCCCAGGCUGGAGCAGCUCUCCUAGGUCACAGCCUGCUGGGCUGGGGCACGUAGCCCAGGGUGGAGGCAGAACAAUGUUGCUGUGGUAGCCCCUUGCCUUUCAUGCCCAUGCUUGAUUCUUGCACCUCAGCAGGUGAAGGUCUCAGAGACCGGUAAUCAGAAGGCAUCCGACUACAUGAAGUGUGCAGCGCUGAAAAGACGUUUACAACUAGGCUAGGGAUUAGCCACUAUGGGAGGGUGGGCAGGCAACGGUUCAGUGGCCUGGCUGGUAGCAGGAACUCCAAGUGCCCAGGCCUCUUGGGCAUCUUAGGGCCCUGCCUCUGUUUCAUGAUGCAUGAGUCAUUUGUCUUGGGUGUCCUAUCCCAUAUGGAGAAGAAAGGGGCUCUAAGUUCUGGCUCUUCUUUCCUUGGGGUUCUCUGUACCUGAGGAAACCAGGCCCUGGGUGACUUUGCAGAUCUGCUCACCCUCGGUGAGCAACAGUGUCAGCCAUGCAAGCAGGAUAGGAAGGUGACUGGGUGCCCUUGGUGAGCUGUGUAUUUCCUAGGAGGUAGAAAACUGUGGGAAACUGUGGCUAAUAA
This 938-nucleotide small RNA is filed under the name Pongo abelii (Sumatran orangutan). RNAcentral describes it as "processed transcript". Lineage: Eukaryota; Metazoa; Chordata; Mammalia; Primates; Hominidae. The record is from RNAcentral.